RNAcentral lists this transfer RNA (66 nucleotides) under Quadrula quadrula (mapleleaf mussel). RNAcentral's name for it is "tRNA-Leu". Lineage: Eukaryota; Metazoa; Mollusca; Bivalvia; Unionida; Unionidae. The record is from RNAcentral.
AAAGGGGUGGCAGAAAAGUGCCUUAGUCCUAAGAUCUAACAACGGGUUUACCCCCCCUUUAACCGC